UACGUAGGGUGCAAGCGUUGUCCGGAAUUAUUGGGCGUAAAGAGCUCGUAGGCGGUUCGUCGCGUCGGCUGUGAAAACCCGGAGCUCAACUCCGGGCCUGCAGUCGAUACGGGCGGACUUGAGUGUUGCAGGGGAGACUGGAAUUCCUGGUGUAGCGGUGAAAUGCGCAGAUAUCAGGAGGAACACCGGUGGCGAAGGCGGGUCUCUGGGCAACUACUGACGCUGAGGGGCGAAAGCGUGGGGAGCGAACAGG
RNAcentral lists this ribosomal RNA (253 nucleotides) under uncultured bacterium. RNAcentral describes it as "partial 16S ribosomal RNA". It matches the Rfam family "Bacterial small subunit ribosomal RNA", at positions 524 to 776 of the family's 1533-position model. The record is from RNAcentral.